RNAcentral lists this long non-coding RNA (1140 nucleotides) under Calidris pugnax (ruff). Its description in RNAcentral is "lncRNA (ENSCPUG00000003230.1)". Lineage: Eukaryota; Metazoa; Chordata; Aves; Charadriiformes; Scolopacidae. The record is from RNAcentral.
AUGGGGGUGAAAUCGGGUGCCCGGCUUAAGUGCAUCUACACUAUUGCACGUAGCAUGGGCAACAAACAAGAUGAGCUGGAAGCCAUUGUGCAGCAGGACAGCUAUGAUGUAAUCGCCAUCACAGAAACAUGGUGGGAUGAUGGUCAUAGCUGGAAUGCUGUGAUGGAUGGCUAUAAGCUCUUCAGGAGGGAUAGGCAAGGAAGGAGAGGUGGGGGUGUGGCUCUAUAUGUUAGGGAGUGUUUUGAUUGUAUGGAAAUAACUGUAUCAUUGCUGCAAUCUGAGUGUUUAUGGGUAAAGAUGGAGGGCAAGGCUAGCAAGGGAGAUCUGGUGCUGGGAUAUAGACCACCCAACCAGGAUGAGGAGGCAGACGAGGUAUUCUAUAAGCAGCUGGCUGAAGUCUCUCGAUCGCCAGCCCUUGUUCUGGUUGGGGACUUCAACCUACCGGACAUCUGCUGGGAAUACAACACAGCCGAGAGCAGGCAGGCUAGGAGGUUCCUUGAGUGUAUGGAAGAUAACUUCCUGACACAACUAGUAGGUGAGCCAACCAGGGGAGGUGCCUCACUAGACCUGCUGCUCACAAAUAGAGAGGGACUAGUGGGAGAUGUGGUGGUCGGAGGCCGUCUUGGGCUUAGCGACCAUGAAAUGGUCAAGUUUUCAAUUAUUAGAGAGGUAAGGAAAGGGACUAGCAAAACCUCAACCUUGGACUUCCGGCGGGCAGACUUCAGCCUUUUCAGAUCACUGGUUGGAAAAGUCCCAUGGGAGGAAUCCCUGAAGGGCAAAGGUGUUCAGGAAGGCUGGGUGUUUUUCAAGGAGGAAGUCUUAAAAGCCCAAGCCCAGGCCAUCCCUACACGCUGUAAAGCGAGCCGUCGGGGGAAAAGGCCAGCCUGGCUGAGCAAAGAGAUAGCAUCACAGCUUAGAGAAAAAAGGAGAAUUUAUGACCUUUGGAAAAAGGGGCAGGCCACGCAGGAAGAUUACAANNNNNNNNNNNNNNNNNNNNNNNNNNNNNNNUCCACGAGAAAGAAAAACAGUAAAAAAAAAAAAAAGGAAAAAAACAACAAAAAACCAACAAACCAAAACUCAGAUCACAAAAGGCUUGGCUGCUGCAAAUGUGCCUGGAGUAGGAAGAGUAGCACCAGCUGA